ACGCUAGCGAUAGGCUUAACACAUGCAAGUCGAGGGGCAGCAUGGUCUUAGCUUGCUAAGACUGACGGCGACCGGCGCACGGGUGCGUAACGCGUAUGCAACUUGCCUCACAGAGGGGGAUAACCCGUCGAAAGACGGACUAAUACCGCGUACACUCUAUGUUGGGCAUCCAAUGUAGAGGAAAUGAACUUCGCUGUGAGAUAGGCAUGCGUCCCAUUAGCUAGUUGGUGAGGUAACGGCUCACCAAGGCGACGAUGGGUAGGGGAACUGAGAGGUUGAACCCCCACACUGGUACUGAGACACGGACCAGACUCCUACGGGAGGCAGCAGUGAGGAAUAUUGGUCAAUGGGCGAGAGCCUGAACCAGCCAAGUCGCGUGAAGGAUGACUGUCUUAUGGAUUGUAAACUUCUUUUAUACGGGAAUAACAAGAGUCACGUGUGGCUCCCUGCAUGUACCGUAUGAACAAGCAUCGGCUAACUCCGUGCCAGCAGCCGCGGUAAUACGGAGGAUGCGAGCGUUAUCCGGAUUUAUUGGGUUUAAAGGGUGCGUAGGCGGCCUGUUAAGUCAGCGGUGAAAUCUAGGAGCUUAACUCCUAAAUUGCCAUUGAUACUGGCGGGCUUGAGUGUAGAUGAGGUAGGCGGAAUGCGUGGUGUAGCGGUGGAAUGCAUAGAUAUCACGCAGAACUCCGAUUGCGAAGGCAGCUUACUAAGGUACAACUGACGCUGAAGCACGAAAGCGUGGGUAUCAAACAGGAUUAGAUACCCUGGUAGUCCACGCAGUAAACGAUGAUAACUGGGCGUAUGCGAUAUACAGUAUGCUCCUAAGCGAAAGCGUUAAGUUAUCCACCUGGGGAGUACGCCGGCAACGGUGAAACUCAAAGGAAUUGACGGGGGCCCGCACAAGCGGAGG
RNAcentral lists this ribosomal RNA (910 nucleotides) under uncultured bacterium. RNAcentral's name for it is "bacterial SSU rRNA". It matches the Rfam family "Bacterial small subunit ribosomal RNA", at positions 33 to 935 of the family's 1533-position model. The record is from RNAcentral.